UCUCUGAAGUUGCAGUGGAGUGGAUCGAAGCAACAAGACGCAGUGGACUGGAAUGAAGCUACUUGAAGAAGAGAAUCACCAAAACAAGUUAAAACUCGGCAAAACCAGGCAAAAUUGGCCCUUCGAAAGUCUUUGCUCCAUUCCCGUUUCAUGUCAACGAGCAAUGUGGGGCAGCUGUAACGGGCCUAUUUUGCUCGGGCCCAAAUCAGACCAAAAAACAAACAAAAAUAAAUAAAUAAAAAUACCAAAUAUUAACAGUCCAUCAAACCCAAAUUACAAGCCCAAAAAAUAAAAAACCCUAAGGCCCAACAAGCCCACAACCUAAAAAGAAAAAAAAAAGAAAACCCUAGCCCCCAGCCUGCUGCCGCCGCACCUAGCCCCUGACACCUCUACCAUCGCUACCUGCAAGGAAAGAUGGACACCUGCAACACGCAAC
RNAcentral lists this long non-coding RNA (436 nucleotides) under Gossypium raimondii (Peruvian cotton). Its description in RNAcentral is "long non-coding RNA (GRAI_LNC002666)". The record is from RNAcentral. Lineage: Eukaryota; Viridiplantae; Streptophyta; Magnoliopsida; Malvales; Malvaceae.